AUUGAACGCUGGCGGCAUGCCUUACACAUGCAAGUCGAACGGUAACAGGUCUUCGGAUGCUGACGAGUGGCGAACGGGUGAGUAAUACAUCGGAACGUGCCUAGUAGUGGGGGAUAACUACUCGAAAGAGUGGCUAAUACCGCAUGGGAUCUACGGAUGAAAGCAGGGGAUCGCAAGACCUUGUGCUACUAAAGCGGCCGAUGGCAGAUUAGGUAGUUGGUGGGAUAAAAGCUUACCAAGCCGACGAUCUGUAGCUGGUCUGAGAGGACGAUCAGCCACACUGGGACUGAGACACGGCCCAGACUCCUACGGGAGGCAGCAGUGGGGAAUUUUGGACAAUGGGCGAAAGCCUGAUCCAGCAAUGCCGCGUGCAGGAUGAAGGCCUUCGGGUUGUAAACUGCUUUUGUACGGAACGAAAAGCCCCGGGUUAAUACCCUGGGGUCAUGACGGUACCGUAAGAAUAAGCACCGGCUAACUACGUGCCAGCCGCCGCAGUAA
Molecule: ribosomal RNA, 498 nt
Filed under: uncultured bacterium
Lineage: Bacteria
Description: partial 16S ribosomal RNA
Rfam family: Bacterial small subunit ribosomal RNA
Source: RNAcentral